Molecule: ribosomal RNA, 907 nt
Filed under: uncultured bacterium
Lineage: Bacteria
Description: bacterial SSU rRNA
Rfam family: Bacterial small subunit ribosomal RNA
Source: RNAcentral
ACGCUGGCGGCAGGCUUAACACAUGCAAGUCGAACGGUAACAGGAGAAAGCUUGCUUUCUUGCUGACGAGUGGCGGACGGGUGAGUAAUGCUUGGGAAUCUGGCUUAUGGAGGGGGAUAACGACGGGAAACUGUCGCUAAUACCGCGUAGAGUCGAGAGACGAAAGUGCGGGACCGCAAGGCCGCAUGCCAUAGGAUGAGCCCAAGUGGGAUUAGGUAGUUGGCGGGGUAAAGGCCUACCAAGCCGACGAUCUCUAGCUGGUCUGAGAGGAUGACCAGCCACACCGGGACUGAGACACGGCCCGGACUCCUACGGGAGGCAGCAGUGGGGAAUAUUGCGCAAUGGGGGCAACCCUGACGCAGCCAUGCCGCGUGAAUGAAGAAGGCCUUCGGGUUGUAAAGUUCUUUCGGUAUUGAGGAAGGUUGUUGUGUUAAUAGCACGACAAAUUGACGUUAAAUACAGAAGAAGCACCGGCUAACUCCGUGCCAGCAGCCGCGGUAAUACGGAGGGUGCGAGCGUUAAUCGGAAUAACUGGGCGUAAAGGGCACGCAGGCGGACUUUUAAGUGAGGUGUGAAAUCCCCGGGCUUAACCUGGGAGUUGCAUUUCAGACUGGGAGUCUAGAGUACUUUAGGGAGGGGUAGAAUUCCACGUGUAGCGGUGAAAUGCGUAGAGAUGUGGAGGAAUACCGAAGGCGAAGGCAGCCCCUUGGGAAUGUACUGACGCUCAUGUGCGAAAGCGUGGGGAGCAAACAGGAUUAGAUACCCUGGUAGUCCACGCUGUAAACGCUGUCGAUUUGGGGAUUGGGCCUUGAGCUUGGUGCCCGAAGCUAACGUGAUAAAUCGACCGCCUGGGGAGUACGGCCGCAAGGUUAAAACUCAAAUGAAUUGACGGGGGCCCGCACAAGCG